GGACCAAGGAGUCUAGCAUGUGCGCGAGUCAUUGGGAUUGAAUAAACCUAAAGGCGCAAUGAAAGUGAAGGUCAGCCUCGCGCGGACCGAGGGAGGAUGGGCCGCAUCACGGUGCGGCCUCGCACUCCCGGGGCGUCUCGUUCUCAUCGCGAGAAGAGGCGCACCCAGAGCGUACACGCUGGGACCCGAAAGAUGGUGAACUAUGCCUGGUCAGGACGAAGUCAGGGGAAACCCUGAUGGAGGUCCGUAGCGAUUCUGACGUGCAAAUCGAUCGUCGGAACUGGGUAUAGGGGCGAAAGACUAAUCGAACCAUCUAGUAGCUGGUUCCCUCCGAAGUUUCCCUCAGGAUAGCUGGCGCUCGCGUAGCGAGUCUCAUCCGGUAAAGCGAAUGAUUAGAGGCAUUGGGGUCGAAACGGCCUCAACCUAUUCUCAAACUUUAAAUGGGUGAGAUCUCCGGCUUGCUCGAACGUGAAGCCGUGAGAUUUUCUCAAAGGAUCAGAGUGCCAAGUGGGCCACUUUUGGUAAGCAGAACUGGCGCUGUGGGAUGAACCAAACGCAGAGUUAAAGCGCCAAAAUUGACGCUUAUGGGAUACCAUGAAAGGCGUU
Molecule: ribosomal RNA, 606 nt
Filed under: Coelostoma sp. 1 MTM-2009
Lineage: Eukaryota; Metazoa; Arthropoda; Insecta; Coleoptera; Hydrophilidae
Description: eukaryotic LSU rRNA
Rfam family: Eukaryotic large subunit ribosomal RNA
Source: RNAcentral